CCCCUCUCAGGGUCACACCUGGAGAGUUUCUAGUACUUUCCCAGUCUCGACUAUGGGAGGGAGAGUCAAGCAGAGUCAUACCCAUUCCAUUCCUAGCUUGGCCAGUGGCUGGUGAGUGGAUGGCAAUUUGCUACAAGU
This is a non-coding RNA of Ornithorhynchus anatinus (platypus), 138 nucleotides long. NCBI's taxonomy places the organism in Eukaryota, Metazoa, Chordata, Mammalia, Monotremata, Ornithorhynchidae. The record is from Rfam.